CCUACGGGAGGCAGCAGUGAGGAAUAUUGGUCAAUGGGCGCGAGCCUGAACCAGCCAAGUCGCGUGAGGGAGGACGGCCCUACGGGUUGUAAGCCUCUUUUGCCGGGGAGCAACGGGCGCCACGUGUGUCAUCACUGAGAGUACCCUGAGAACAAGCAUCCGCUAACUCCGUGCCAGCAGCCGCGGUAAUACGGGGUAUGCGAGCGUUAGCGGGUUUUAUUGGGGUUGAAGGGGGCGUGUGCGGACAGGUAAGUUAGUGGUCAAAUUGAGGGGCCCAACCCCUUCCCGCCAUUGAAACUGGUGAACUUGAGUGGAAGAGAGGUAUGCGGAAUGCGUGGUGUAGCGGUGAAAUGCAUAGAUAUCACGCAGAACACCGAUUGCGAAGGCAGCAUGCCGGACUCCGACUGACGCUGAAGCACGAAAGCGUGGGGAUCGAACAGGAUUAGAUACCCUUGUAGUC
RNAcentral lists this ribosomal RNA (460 nucleotides) under uncultured bacterium. Its description in RNAcentral is "partial 16S ribosomal RNA". It matches the Rfam family "Bacterial small subunit ribosomal RNA", at positions 338 to 795 of the family's 1533-position model. The record is from RNAcentral.